UGGGCCGUAACUGACGCUGAGGAGCGAAAGGGUGGGGAGCAAACAGGCUUAGAUACCCUGGUAGUCCACCCCGUAAACGUUGGGAACUAGUUGUGGGGACCAUUCCACGGUUUCCGUGACGCAGCUAACGCAUUAAGUUCCCCGCCUGGGGAGUACGGCCGCAAGGCUAAAACUCAAAGGAAUUGACGGGGACCCGCACAAGCGGCGGAGCAUGCGGAUUAAUUCGAUGCAACGCGAAGAACCUUACCAAGGCUUGACAUACACCAGAACACCGUAGAAAUACGGGACUCUUUGGACACUGGUGAACAGGUGGUGCAUGGUUGUCGUCAGCUCGUGUCGUGAGAUGUUGGGUUAAGUCCCGCAACGAGCGCAACCCUCGUUUUAUGUUGCCAGCACGUAAUGGUGGGAACUCAUGGGAUACUGCCGGGGUCAACUCGGAGGAAGGUGGGGAUGACGUCAAAUCAUCAUGCCCCUUAUGUCUUGGGCUUCACGCAUGCUACAAUGGCCGGUACAAAGGGCUGCAAUACCGUGAGGUGGAGCGAAUCCCAAAAAGCCGGUCCCAGUUCGGAUUGAGGUCUGCAACUCGACCUCAUGAAGUCGGAGUCGCUAGUAAUCGCAGAUCAGCAACGCUGCGGUGAAUACGUUCCCGGGUCUUGUACACACCGCCCGUCAAGUCAUGAAAGUCGGUAACACCUGAAGCCG
Molecule: ribosomal RNA, 702 nt
Filed under: Microbacterium enclense
Lineage: Bacteria; Bacillati; Actinomycetota; Actinomycetes; Micrococcales; Microbacteriaceae
Description: bacterial SSU rRNA
Rfam family: Bacterial small subunit ribosomal RNA
Source: RNAcentral